This 1349-nucleotide ribosomal RNA is filed under the name seawater metagenome. Its description in RNAcentral is "bacterial LSU rRNA". It matches the Rfam family "Bacterial large subunit ribosomal RNA", at positions 594 to 1980 of the family's 2925-position model. The record is from RNAcentral.
UGACCGUGUGCCUGUUGAAGAAUGAGCCGGCGACUUAUAGGCACUGGCGGGUUAAACCGGAAAUGGUGGAGCCAUAGCGAAAGCGAGUCUGAAUAGGGCGUUUGUCAGUGUUUAUAGACCCGAACCCGGGUGAUCUAACCAUGGCCAGGAUGAAGCUUGGGUGAUACCAAGUGGAGGUCCGAACCGACUGACGUUGAAAAGUCAGCGGAUGAGCUGUGGUUAGGGGUGAAAUGCCAAUCGAACCCGGAGCUAGCUGGUUCUCCCCGAAAUACGUUGAGGCGUAGCGUCUCGUGCUCCAGCAGGGGGGUAAAGCCACCAUUUCGGUGCGGGCUGCGAGAGCGGUACCAAAUCGAGAUGAACUCUGAAUACCCUGUGUGUAGCGAGGCAGUCAGACUGUGGGGGAUAAGCUCCAUGGUCGAGAGGGAAACAGCCCAGACCGCCAGCUAAGGUCCCCAAAUCAACACUAAGUGAUAAAGGAGGUGGGAUUGCCCAGACAACCAGGAGGUUUGCCUAGAAGCAGCCAUCCUCAAAGGAGUGCGUAAUAGCUCACUGGUCGAGCGAUCCUGCGCCGAAAAUGAAUGGGGCUAAGUGUUGUACCGAAGCUGCGGAUUUAUGGUAGGGGAGCGUUCUAUGUGGGGCGAAGCGUUAGCGUGAGCGGGCGUGGACUGCAUAGAAGUGAGAAUGUCGGCUUGAGUAGCGAAAACAUGGGUGAGAAUCCCAUGCACCGAAACCCUAAGGGUUCCUCCGGCAGGCUCGUCCGCGGAGGGUUAGUCUGGACCUAAGGCGAGGCCGAAAGGCGUAGUCGAUGGAUAACAGGUCAACAUUCCUGUACCGGUUAUGUUUUGGGAAGAGGGACGGAGAAGGCUAGCCAAGCCAGAUGUUGGUUACUGGUUCAAGCGUUCGAGGCGUUGAGGAUCGGCGAAAACGAUCCGAGCUGAGGCGUGAGUACGAGCUGCUACGGCAGCGAAGUUGGUGAUGUCAUGCUUCCAAGAAAAGCUCUAUACCCGUUAAGGCAUAACUGCCAGUACCCGAAACCGACACAGGUGGGGUGGUAGAGAAUACCGAGGUGCGCGAGGUAACUCUCUCUAAGGAACUCGGCAAAAUGGCCCCGUAACUUCGGGAGAAGGGGUGCCACAGCAAUGUGGUCGCAGUGAAGAGGCCCUGGCGACUGUUUACCAAAAACACAGGUCUCCGCUAAGUCGCAAGACGAUGUAUGGGGGCUGACGCCUGCCCAGUGCCGGAAGGUUAAGGAAGCCGGUCAGCGUAAGCGAAGCUGGCGACUGAAGCCCCGGUGAACGGCGGCCGUAACUAUAACGGUCCUAAGGUAGCGAAAUUCCUUGUCGGGUAAG